Molecule: long non-coding RNA, 4559 nt
Filed under: Homo sapiens (human)
Lineage: Eukaryota; Metazoa; Chordata; Mammalia; Primates; Hominidae
Description: HSALNT0286714
Source: RNAcentral
CUGCCUCAGCCUCCUGAGUAGCUGGGACUACAGGUGUGUGCCACCACGCCGGGCUAAUGAAUUCCAUUUUUAAUAGACUUGGUGCUACCAGUUAGCCAUCUUAAGGUCUUCAAUAUUAUUUUUGUACAAUGAGUCUUCAAAGUUUUUUCCAAAAUCUUUGUUUUCAAAAAGAGGCCAAUCUCUGACGGUUAACAACAAUCUCAUUGAAUUAUUCUAAAGAGCCUUUUUUCUGAGUGAUUACAGGGCUAAUUUUCUUGGUGAAAACUGCAUAUUUAGCUUAGUAGUCAGCUAAGGUUUUAUCACAAGCUUCUGGGUCCUUGUGCUUUGAACGAUGCCCCACUUUUACUACAGCAAUUAAGUUAACAGCAUCUGAAAACAUCCAAGACUUCUUCAAUGUGUCAAUUUUUAUAGGUGUUUCUGUCAAGGUCAGAAAACCUCUUGGUUUCAAGGCAUUUUGAAGUCAGACUAACCUAAAACCAUGUACUUAGUAUCAGCAUAAGUAUUUAUUAUUUUACUUUUUGCCAGUUAAUAAAUCUAUGUAAUCAAUUAAACUAUCUAAACUGAUUUAAUUUCUGUGAGAAGUUUUCCUUUUAAGAGUAAUUUUUUUUUCUUUUGAGACGGAGUCUCACUCUGUCACUUAGGCUAGAGUGCAGUGGCGUGACUCAGCUCACUGCAACCUCCGCCUCCCAGGUUCAAGCAAUUCUCCUGCCUCAGGCUCCCAAGUAGCUGGAACUACAGGCACGGGCCAGCAUGCCCGGUUAAUUUUUGUAUUUUUAGUAGAGACAGGGUUUCACCAUGUUGGCCAGGCUGGUCCGGAACUCCUGACCUCAAGUGAUCCACCCGCCUUAGCCUCCCAAAGUCCUGGGAUUACAGGCGUGGGCCACCACGCCCAACCUUAAGAGUAAAUUUAGGAGUGUGACAGCAUAUCCUAUUUGACAAUUUUUGGUCUUACUCUUUAUGUCUGAAUAAUCAACAAACAAAAUAAAAUCAGCAUUACCCAAGGGAAUCUCUAGAAGGUCUGUGCAAUGUAUGGAUCCUUUUUUUUUUUUUUUUUUUUUUUAAGAGGUAAGCAAUUAAAGGGUCUUCCUUUUGCAGGUAAAGGAAAAAAGGCUGGGUUUAUAGUGUUGCAGCAAUGGGCAGUGAUGUGUGAAAGAGAAAGCAACAAUGCUUUAUAGGUUAGGUAAGGAGGUAAAAAGUGGUGGGUGUUGGCUAGGUGCAAUGGCUCAUGCCUGUAAUCCCAGCGCUUUGACAGGCCAAGGUAGAAGGAUCACUUGAGGUCAGGAGUUUGAGACCAGCUUGGGCAAUAUAGUGAGAUGCUGUCUCUACAUAAAACUAAAAAUAAUAGCCAUGAAUGGUGGCAUGUGCCUAGAGUCCUAGCUACUCUGGAGGCUGAGGCAGGAGGAUCGCUUGUGCCCAGGAGUUUGAGGUUGCAGUGAGCUAUGCACCACUGCACUCCAGCCUGGGUGACAGAGAAAGACUCUGCCUCUAAAAAAGAAAUAAAAAAUAAAAGUAGUGAGUGUUUUUAAAAAAAAUACAAGAGUUUUCACAGCAUGGAGAAACAUCAACUUUAGUCAGAAAUUAAACUAACUGAAGUCUUCACACAUUUUUCUAUUGCUGUUACACCUCUUAAAUAAGAGUGAUAUGUGUUGGCCACUGGGCCUAAUGAAAGACCGAAAUAAACAAUAGGCCUCUAAUGAUUCUAUGAAACAGAGGCAGUAUUCCCUAGUGCCUGUUCAGACUUUUUAUGAACAAAAGGGUAAGUGAGCUUGUGAAUCUAAAAUCCUGGAAAAAUUUUGUGGUGAACAAUUAUUGUAUCAGUUUUUGUGCUUAUACAUGAACAUGCUUCUUCUACUUUGUAAAGUAUUCAAUGACUGAAAUAUAUUCAUAUACAACCUAGCUGUGCUCCACUUAAUGUCAUAGUUCAGACCAGGUCAUAGUAGGUCAAGUAGGACACAAUAUUGCAGUGAAGACGGGACCAUGGAAUAAAUGCAAACUCACUCCCUGGGACAGCUCAGGUACUGAAGAAGAGUCUGAUGAAAACAUCAGAAUCCCACAUUUGUAGUGAGGCUCAUUCCAGAAGAUUACCACCCACUGACCAGGCAAGCAGCUACAUCUCAUGUCAAUCAAGGCCCAUAAGAAGCAGCAGGAAGAGAACAAGGUGAUGGGAGAUGCAGUCAAUGGGGCACGUAGGAAAAGCAGCAGGGUAGAGUCACCAAGCUAGGGCUUAGGGGUAGAACUCUCCAAGAAAGAUGAUUUCUUUACUAUUGAUUGUUUUUCCUCCAACGAGAAUUGGAGAUGGCUUCCAAGGAUUCAUCCAAUCCAGACAAAUUUUAAAUAAAGUAAAAAAAAAAGAAAAAAGGCAAAAGAUAAAGUUACUAAGCAAGUAACCUAGUCCAGCAGUAAGACAAAGAUCCAGCUUUGCCUCAGGGUCUCAAUUCAGAUUAGCAGCAAAAGGGAUCAUUUAAACUAGGGGAUCAUUUAAACUAGCAGGAUCCUGCCUGCUCCUGUCUGGCCAGGUCUACCACUCAACCCAUCCCUCUUUUCCAGGUCCCUGACCCUCCAGAUUGCCUGGUGAUCUAUUGUGUUUCCUUUUGUGUUUCUUUUACUGUUUUGUUUUGUUUUUUUGAGAUGGAGCCUCGCUCUGUCACCAAGGCCGGAGUGCGGUGGCUCCAUCUCGGCUCACUGCAACCUCCACCUCCUGGGUUUAAGCGAUUCUCCUGCCUCAGCCUCCUGAGUAGCUGGGACUACAGAUGCAUGCCACCACGCCCAUCUAAUUUUUGGUAUUUUUUAGUAGAGAUGGGGUUUCAGCAAGUUGGUCUGGCUGGUCUCGAACUCCUGACCUCAGGUGAUUCGCCUACCUCGGCCUCCCAAAGUGCUGGGAUUACAGGCAUGAGCCACUGCACCCAGGCUUCUUUUUCUGUUUUGAGUGUCUUUCUUUGCAUGUUUCUGUAGCCAGAAGAUCUCCAUUCCACUCCCAGGGGCUCCAAAAUAAAUUCUCCUUCCCCCUGGGGAAACGCACUAGCUUGUUUUGGUGGGCUUAGGUGUGGUUUUUGUUUUUCAGUUUGUUGUUGUUGUUGUUUUGUUCCUUUGCCUUUUUUUCACUUUUAUUUGGAGGGAAUGGGAGAAAGUGGGAACAGGGAAGUGGGAGGUGGAUUUUGUUCAUUUUUUUUAGCUCAUUUCCAGGGGGUGGGAAUUUCUUUUAAAAUGUGUCAUGAAUAAAGUUGUUUUUGAAAAUAAAAAAAAAACUAGGGGGUGAAAAAAGGCUUCAAAAAUGAUAAUGGACCCAAAUUUGAAAGGUAAGUGGCAUUUGUCUUGGUGGAGAUGAAGGAAUCAACACCUCCGGUAGAGGGAGAACUGUAGUUCCUCCACUGAGGCCUGAGUAAAGUGCCUGGAGCCGAAAUGAUGGGAAGGAGCCAUGGUAGGUAAAUGAGACUGGAGGGGAACAAGUGACAAAUCUUACAAGGUCCUGAAUGCCUGCUAAGGAGCUAGGCUGGGCUCCUUUGCAAUCACUCAGCACUUCUCAAAAGUUCUGAAGAAUGGAAAACUCAAUCAGAGAUAUGCCUUAGAAAAAUAUGCAGGAUAAUAGGGUAAAUGAUGUGUCUCAAGGUGAAUACUCAUGAAUGUCUAGGUCUGGGAAGAGGGGCAAGGAUGAGUGUUUAACAAAAGUUACCAGGUUAAUGUGAUGUGAGGAGUCUGUGACACCACAAGACUAGGUUGGGACAGUUGGGAAUGAGAGAGAGAAAAUGGGAUCAAGAGAGACUUUAGUGAACUCAUGGUGAAAACAGCCUUCUGUAGGGGUACUUCUGCCCUAAAGGAAGCUGUUCAGAGAGAGGCACACAUUUCCUGACAUUACUACUCACAUGUUAUCACAAGAUUCUCUCUAACUGGCUGAAGAGACCCAUGUGGCCCUAGAAGCUAUUACUCCCCCAAUGACAUCUCUGUCUCCACACACUGCACCAUGCCCUGCAGGAAGGUCCUGAGAUGGUUGAAGAAGUCAUUACUUAUAUUACUACUACAUUGCUAUUCACAUUUCAGCUCUCUAACUGGCUGAGGGGACCCAAGGGAGGGAAAAACCAUAAUGUCUCCAUUGUGAGCCAUAAUAUCCUCUCUAGCUAAAGCUUCCCAUUGGUGGAAGGUGGGCCAAUGGCUGCCGUCCUUCUUAAUGACAUCCUCUGUAACAGCACAAGGUGCUUAACACCUCAGAUUCCGAAAUAAAGGGUUGAACCAUUAAAAGAAACAUGGGUGGCCCUAGAAAUUAGUGUUCUCUCCCUCCCAUGACUUCUCCACAUCCAUACACUGCACGCUUCCUAGGGGAAGGAGGUCAGGGGGUUGCAAAACUCAUCCCUGACAUUACUAUUUACACAUCUGCAGAACCUGUUCUCUGAGUAGUUGAAGGGCCCCUUCGGAGGAAGGAGCCACGAUGCCUCCAUCAUGAGGUCCUGACGUCCUCUCUACUAAGGUUGCCCAUUAAUGGAAGCUGUCCAGUGGCUGCACUCCUAUUUAAUCAAAGCCACUGUAUGACUAGCCAAUGCGUUUGACUCCUAGAACCCCAAAUCAUA